UUCCAGUUUUUGGAGAAAAAAAUAAUUUGUUUUUGAUUCUGAGAAAAAAAAAUUGUUUGUUUCACCCUCAGCUGCCACUAUAUGUAAUGCUAAAAUUGAAAGAAAAAAAUUGUUUUCGACUUGUCGCGAAAAAAUAGAUUGUUUUUCGCCGUAGGCGAAAAAAAAAAUUUGUCCAGAAAAAAAAACCAUAGCCCCCCAGAAAAUCAAAUGGUUGCUGCCUUAUUCAU
This 227-nucleotide long non-coding RNA is filed under the name Mytilus galloprovincialis (Mediterranean mussel). Lineage: Eukaryota; Metazoa; Mollusca; Bivalvia; Mytilida; Mytilidae. The record is from RNAcentral.